UUACUCUUGUUUCUCUUCAUAUCGUAUAAAUCUUUCGCAUUUUACUAAAGAUUUUUGUCGGGAAUGACAACAAGAGUCGGUCUCAACUUUUUGACGCUCUGCGAAAGCGGAGCU
This is a small nuclear RNA of Syngnathoides biaculeatus (alligator pipefish), 114 nucleotides long. RefSeq annotates it as U5 spliceosomal RNA. NCBI's taxonomy places the organism in Eukaryota, Metazoa, Chordata, Actinopteri, Syngnathiformes, Syngnathidae. The transcript has a single exon. The record is from RefSeq and is a predicted model, not a curated record.